ACGGAGGGUGCAAGCGUUGUUCGGAAUUACUGGGCGUAAAGCGCGCGUAGGCGGCUUUUUAAGUCAGAUGUGAAAGUCCACGGCUCAACCGUGGAAGUGCAUUUGAAACUGGAAGGCUUGAGUAUUGGAGGGGGUGGUGGAAUUCCCGGUGUAGAGGUGAAAUUCGUAGAUAUCGGGAGGAAUACCGGUGGCGAAGGCGACCACCUGGCCAAAUACUGACGCUGAGGUGCGAAAGCGUGGGGAGCAAACAGG
RNAcentral lists this ribosomal RNA (252 nucleotides) under uncultured bacterium. Its description in RNAcentral is "partial 16S ribosomal RNA". It matches the Rfam family "Bacterial small subunit ribosomal RNA", at positions 525 to 776 of the family's 1533-position model. The record is from RNAcentral.